Molecule: unclassified non-coding RNA, 520 nt
Filed under: uncultured Glomus
Lineage: Eukaryota; Fungi; Glomeromycota; Glomeromycetes; Glomerales; Glomeraceae
Description: SSU rRNA
Rfam family: Eukaryotic small subunit ribosomal RNA
Source: RNAcentral
AGCAGCCGCGGUAAUUCCAGCUCCAAUAGCGUAUAUUAAAGUUGUUGCAGUUAAAAAGCUCGUAGUUGAAUUUCGGGAUCAAUAUAUCGGUCGUGCCUUGGUACGUACUGGUAUCAUUGGUUUCUCCUUUCUGACGAACCAUGAUGUCAUUAAUUUGGUGUUAUGGGAAGUUAGGACUGUUACUUUGAAAAAUUAGAGUGUUUAAAGCAGGCUUUAGCUUGAAUACAUUAGCAUGGAAUAAUGAAAUAGGACGUUCGAACCUAUUUUGUUGGUUUCUAGGAUCAACGUAAUGAUUAAUAGGGAUAGUUGGGGGCAUUAGUAUUCAAUUGUCAGAGGUGAAAUUCUUGGAUUUAUUGAAGACUAACUACUGCGAAAGCAUUUGCCAAGGAUGUUUUCAUUAAUCAAGAACGAAAGUUAGGGGAUCGAAGACGAUCAGAUACCGUCGUAGUCUUAACCAUAAACUAUGCCGACUAGGGAUCGGAUGAUGUUAAUUUUUAAUGACUCAUUCGGCGCCUUACGG